GCACUGGUGGUUCCGUGGUAGAAUUCCCGCCUUCCAUUUGGGAGACCUGGCUUUGAUUCCCCGGCCGGUGCA
Molecule: transfer RNA, 72 nt
Filed under: Loxodonta africana (African savanna elephant)
Lineage: Eukaryota; Metazoa; Chordata; Mammalia; Proboscidea; Elephantidae
Rfam family: tRNA
About the family: Transfer RNA (tRNA) molecules are approximately 80 nucleotides in length. Their secondary structure includes four short double-helical elements and three loops (D, anti-codon, and T loops).
Source: Rfam by way of RNAcentral